RNAcentral lists this ribosomal RNA (305 nucleotides) under uncultured bacterium. Its description in RNAcentral is "bacterial SSU rRNA". It matches the Rfam family "Bacterial small subunit ribosomal RNA", at positions 334 to 656 of the family's 1533-position model. The record is from RNAcentral.
UUUUCCUACGGGAGGCAGCAGUGGGGAAUAUUGCACAAUGGGGGAAACCCUGAUGCAGCGACGCCGCGUGAGUGAAGAAGUAUUUCGGUAUGUAAAGCUCUAUCAGCAGGGAAGAUAAUGACGGUACCUGACUAAGAAGCCCCGGCUAACUACGUGCCAGCAGCCGCGGUAAUACGUAGGGGGCAAGCGUUAUCCGGAUUUACUGGGUGUAAAGGGAGCGUAGACGGCUGAGCAAGCCUGAAGUGAAAGGCGGGGGCCCAACCCCUGGACUGCUUUGGGAACUGUACGGCUGGAGUGCAGGAGAG